This 157-nucleotide ribosomal RNA is filed under the name Zingiber junceum. RNAcentral describes it as "5.8S ribosomal RNA". It matches the Rfam family "5.8S ribosomal RNA". From Rfam's summary of the family: 5.8S ribosomal RNA (5.8S rRNA) is a component of the large subunit of the eukaryotic ribosome. It is transcribed by RNA polymerase I as part of the 45S precursor that also contains 18S and 28S rRNA. Lineage: Eukaryota; Viridiplantae; Streptophyta; Magnoliopsida; Zingiberales; Zingiberaceae. The record is from RNAcentral.
CUCUCGGCAAUGGAUAUCUCGGCUCUUGCAUCGAUGAAGAACGUAGUGAAAUGCGAUACUUGGUGUGAAUUGCAGAAUCUCGUGAACAUUGAGUCUUUGAACGCAAGUUGUGCCCGAGGCCUUGUGGCCGAGGGCACGCCUGCUUGGGUGUCAUGGC